UUAACCAAACACUGCCUUUUUCGUCUGCUUCCGUACUGAACAGCAAAGUGUUCCGAAAUCUACAUUUCCUUCCCUCUCACCUCCUUUUUGCCCCUCCGGCGAACCAUUGCCUCGCUUGUGCUUCAUAAAGCGCUGCCCUCGCUUUCGUGCCUAGCACUCCUCUUAGUCUCAAUUAAUAGUUCAGCCCCUCUUGUCUGUCUUGCGUGCUUCGUAGCCUCUUUCAACUUGUCCCUGUCCGGGAUUGGGGCAACGGUGAGAUCUGGAGAAAUCCUCUCCUUAAAUCUUUCCUGAGAUUCUCUGGGGCUUGGACUCAAUUUGCUGCUACCUUUUGUUGUCAAUAAUGUUACAGCAGUGUAAAACCUCUAAGUGCUUAGGUACCACAACAAGGGAUCACAUCAGUCAAUUGCCGACAGACAUUCUGUGUUAUAUAAUCUCUAAACUGACACUGACGGAUGCUGUCAGAACAAGAACAUUAUCACGCAGAUGGAAAUCCCUCGGCUCAUCCCAGCUAGUCUUAUUUUUUAUAAGAUUAACAUGUUCUUAGCGGGUGAAAAUUGUGCACUUAUCUUGAGAUCCCCUUGCAGUGGAUAUAUGAACAAAUUUGUUAGUGGAGUUAAUCAAUUCCUCGAAUCUUAUCCGAUUCAGUGUGCACAAGACAUAAUCUUCUUUCAAGUCAGUUUCUGUCUUGGAGAUGAUCACUGUGAUGAUAUUGAUCGAUGGGUCAGUUUUGCUGUUCGAAUGGGUGUUGAGAGUCUCUUCUUGACCUUAUUUGUCUAGGAAAACAAUGUAACAAGAAUCCUGAUGAUGUGCACAUCAAUGAAAAUGAGGGGAAGUAUGUUUUUCGUUGGGACCUUUUUGAAGGUGUGGAUAACAAGUUGAAGCAUCUGCGAUUAGUAGGUUUUAGUUUGGGACAAAAGUUUUCUGCUAACCAAUUUGGCAGCUUGCAGACUCUUUGCUUGAUUUAUAUUCCUAUUGUCCAAUAUGACCUGCAUAGCAUGUUUUCCGGUUUGGUGAACCUUAAAAAUUUGUGCUUCACGAGGUGUGUCCUCCCUUCAAAAUUAGGCCUUGGCUCAUUGCUUCUUCUGAAGAUCUUUAAACUUAUAGAUUGUCGGGGGAUUGAGAAUGUUCAGCUAUGUAAUGUGAAUCUCUUGAACUUUCAGCUCAAUUCUCAUCGACUGCUUGAGCUUAAUUUGCGUGGAGCUCCUAAUUUAAAGAUUCUUGGUUGUUGUGCACUUAAAAGAGGACUGCAGUCACUGCACCAUAUCUUGACUGAUCUUCCAAGACCUCUUCUCGAUUUGAGGGUUUUGCGGAUUUACACAUAAGGAUUGGGCUGGAUUUUCGAAAACCUAGAAAGUUUGACACCUUGAAGAUGGUUUCCAUCCUUAGAGUCUUUCCCAAUCUGUGCAAGCUUGAGUUAUCGGCAUGUUGUCCUUUAGAGAGUGAAUCAGAGGGUCCUGGCCUCGGUGAUCAUGUUCAUAAAUAUCUGAAACGCUUUGAAAUUUGUGGUUUUCAUACAUCAAAUCAGACUGUGUUAGCAAUUUAUUUGCUGAAUCAUGCUCCAAGCCUUAAGCGGAUGGCUAUCAAACAAAAAGCAAGACACCAUUUUGACUGCUCAAAAACUGCUAAUGAGCAAAUGGAAUUGUUGGAUGAAGAAGAAUGCCAGAAGCUUUGCUCGCAAUUACAGGCAUUAUCCAAAAGUGCAGUGGUGAUUGUCACAUGAAUACAUUUAUGGAUUAUUUAUUAAACAAAAAAGGUACUUUUAUUUCGUAUUCAUUAUUUGUUAUUUAUAUUUGUUUUUGUUUCUGUUUUUUACUACUCUGUGUAGCAAUUGAGUCGUGAUGAACUAUAAUAUUAUCCAAAAGUUACUUGUUAUUGGCUCCCUA
This is a long non-coding RNA of Hevea brasiliensis (rubber tree), 1883 nucleotides long. RefSeq lists it as uncharacterized. The record is from RefSeq and is a predicted model, not a curated record. NCBI's taxonomy places the organism in Eukaryota, Viridiplantae, Streptophyta, Magnoliopsida, Malpighiales, Euphorbiaceae. The transcript has 4 exons.